RNAcentral lists this ribosomal RNA (1241 nucleotides) under metagenome. RNAcentral describes it as "bacterial LSU rRNA". It matches the Rfam family "Bacterial large subunit ribosomal RNA", at positions 1564 to 2815 of the family's 2925-position model. The record is from RNAcentral.
UGAAUACGAGACGCUAAGGCGUCGAAGUAGUGUAUGUCAUACUUCCAAGAAAAGCUUGCACUGUCAUAGAUAAAAAACGCCUGUACCAUAACCGACACAGGUGGGUAGGUAGAGUAUACUAAGGGGCGCGAGAUAACUCUCUCUAAGGAACCCGGCAAAAUAACUCCGUAACUUCGGGAGAAGGAGUGCCUUAUUCGUAAGGUUGCAAUAACAAGAUCCAAGCAACUGUUUAUCAAAAACACAGGUCUCCGCUAAGUCGUAAGACGAUGUAUGGGGGCUGACGCCUGCCCAGUGCCAGAAGGUUAAAGAAGUUGGUUAGCAAUUGCGAAGCUGAUAACUGAAGCCCUGGUGAACGGCGGCCGUAACAAUAACGGUCCUAAGGUAGCGAAAUUCCUUGUCGGGUAAGUUCCGACCCGCACGAAAGGCGUAAUGAUUUGGAUACUGUCUCGGAGAGGGGCUCGGUGAAAUAGACUUGUCUGUGAAGAUGCGGACUACCUGCACCAGGACAGAAAGACCCUAUGAAGCUUUACUGUAACUUGAAAUUGAAAUUGGACUUUAUUCGCGCAGUAUAGGUGGGAGGCGUUGAUUAUAAUCUUGUGGGAUUAUUGGAGCCAUCAGUGAGAUACCACUCUUGUAAUGUUAGAUUUCUAACUUUGAAUCAUUAUCUGGUCAAAGAACAGUUUCAGGCGGGCAGUUUGACUGGGGCGGUCGCCUCCUAAACGGUAACGGAGGCGUACAAAGGUUUCCUCUGAACGGUUAGAAAUCGUAUCUAGAGUGUAAAGGCAUAAGGAAGCUUGACUGUGAGACCUACAAGUCGAGCAGGGACGAAAGUCGGUCUUAGUGAUCUGACGGUACUGAGUGGAAAGGCCGUCACUCAACGGAUAAAAGUUACUCUAGGAUAACAGGCUGAUCUCCCCCAAGAGUUCACAUCGACGGGGAGGUUUGGCACCUCGAUGUCGGCUCAUCGCAUCCUGGGGCGGUAGUACGUCCCAAGGGUUGGGCUGUUCGCCCAUGAAAGCGGUACGCGAGCUGGGUUCAGAACGUCGUGAGACAGUUCGGUCCAUAUCCGGUGUAGGCGUUAGAAUAUUGAGAGGAGCCUUCUUUAGUACGAGAGGACCGAGAAGGACAUACCUCUGGUGUACCAGUUAUCGUGCCAACGGUAAACGCUGGGUAGCUAUGUAUGGAGUGGAUAACCGCUGAAAGCAUCUAAGUGGGAAGCCCACCUCAAGAUAAGUAUUCCC